RNAcentral lists this long non-coding RNA (286 nucleotides) under Mus pahari (shrew mouse). RNAcentral describes it as "lncRNA (MGP_PahariEiJ_G0005299.1)". Lineage: Eukaryota; Metazoa; Chordata; Mammalia; Rodentia; Muridae. The record is from RNAcentral.
GGUGACCCCAAGGGAGACACCAACCCUCUCUCUGAGCCCCUCCCCCACCCAGCUCAGCUCAUCAAAGUCCACCCCAGAGGGGGCCACAGCCAAGACAGAGCUCCCUGAACUCCGACUCUGUCCUGAUGGCCCAGGCACUUCGGAAAUGAUGUACCACUGCACCAUAGCCAGAAGAGCAAUUGGACCAAUAAGUUAUGGACCAGGCCCUGAGACACUGUGAGCCCGAGAAAACCUUUUCCUCCCAUGUGCCUGUCUCUCUUCAGUAUUCAUUAUACUGACAGGAAAC